AGAAAAUCAGUUUGAUGACCCGAAUUCCCGCAUCUGUCCAGCGCUUAAUUUACCAGGGCAAACAGCUUCGAGUAGACCAGACGAUAUCGGAUUGUGGAAUUAACAUGGAAUCCAACUUGCAACUCGUCGGCCGAUUGAGGAGCACAAAGUAUUCUCACGCUUGGAAGCUCAUGAAUGAAUUGUCUUCAUUAAUUUGGGGAUUUUGCAAAAGCGAAUUCUAUUUGAU
Molecule: unclassified non-coding RNA, 226 nt
Filed under: Hevea brasiliensis (rubber tree)
Lineage: Eukaryota; Viridiplantae; Streptophyta; Magnoliopsida; Malpighiales; Euphorbiaceae
Source: RNAcentral